This 493-nucleotide ribosomal RNA is filed under the name uncultured bacterium. RNAcentral's name for it is "partial 16S ribosomal RNA". It matches the Rfam family "Bacterial small subunit ribosomal RNA", at positions 30 to 507 of the family's 1533-position model. The record is from RNAcentral.
AUUGAACGCUGGCGGCAUGCUUUACACAUGCAAGUCGAACGGCAGCGGGGAGGAGCUUGCUUCUCUGCCGGCGAGUGGCGAACGGGUGAGUAAUACAUCGGAACGUGUCGAGAAGAGGGGGAUAACCACCCGAAAGGGUGGCUAAUACCGCAUAAAUUCUGAGGAAGAAAGCUGGGGACCUAGGAAUAGGCCUAGCGCUUUUUGAGCGGCCGAUGUCGGAUUAGCUAGUUGGUGAGGUAAAGGCUCACCAAGGCGAAGAUCUGUAGCGGGUCUGAGAGGAUGAUCCGCCACACUGGGACUGAGACACGGCCCAGACUCCUACGGGAGGCAGCAGUGGGAAUUUUGGACAAUGGGGGCAACCCUGAUCCAGCCAUGCCGCGUGUAUGAAGAAGGCCUUAGGGUUGUAAAGUACUUUUGUUAGGGAAGAAAAGUCAGCUGUGAAUAAUGGCUGAUACUGACGGUACCUAAAGAAUAAGCACCGGCUAACUACGUG